CACCCAUGCAUGUUUUUGACAUUUGAAAAAUGGACUGCUCAGUAAUACUCACUUUAUUUUAUGUAAAUUUUUAAUUAACUACGUUAAAGUGUAGAUAAGAUGUUUACAGUAAGAGUGAGACCUAUCAGCUAGUUGUUAAGGUAAUGGCUUAACAAGGCUGUGACGGGUAACGGUAUUACUUUGUAAUAUUCCGGAGAAGGAGCCUGAGAGACGGCUACUAACUCUAAGGAUUGCAGCAGGGGCGAAACUUGACCUAUGGAUUUUAUYUGAGGCAGUUAUGGGAAGUAAUAUUAUAUUGUUUCAUAUUUUAAAAGUAUAUGAGGUGAUUAAUUGGAGGGCAAAUCAAGUGCCAGCAGCCGCGGUAAUACUUGUUCCCAAGAGUGUGUAUGAUGAUUGAUGCAGUUAAAAAGUCCGUACUUUAUUUUUUUAUUAAGCAA
RNAcentral lists this ribosomal RNA (437 nucleotides) under Nosema sp. Its description in RNAcentral is "partial small subunit ribosomal RNA". It matches the Rfam family "Microsporidia small subunit ribosomal RNA", at positions 45 to 479 of the family's 1311-position model. The record is from RNAcentral. Lineage: Eukaryota; Fungi; Microsporidia; Nosematidae.